AACGCAUCUUGUGCUCCUUGGUAUUCUGAGGAGCAUGCCUGUUUGAGUGUCAUCAAAUUCUCAACCUCAUUCAUUCAUUGAUUGGUUGGUUGGAUGUGGAGGUUUGCAGGACUACUUUUGUUAUCUGCUCCUCUGAAAUGUAUUAGUGGCAGAAAGAAAAAUCCACAGAUGUGAUAAAUUAUCUAUAUCUUGGAAUAUAAAAUAGCUUUGUGCUGCUUUACAAUUUUCUUGAUUAACAAAUCUUGACCUCAAAUCAGGUAGGACUACCUGCUGAACUUAA
Molecule: unclassified non-coding RNA, 280 nt
Filed under: uncultured Agaricales
Lineage: Eukaryota; Fungi; Basidiomycota; Agaricomycetes; Agaricales
Description: sequence contains 5.8S rRNA gene, ITS2, 28S rRNA gene
Source: RNAcentral